This 548-nucleotide unclassified non-coding RNA is filed under the name Hevea brasiliensis (rubber tree). Lineage: Eukaryota; Viridiplantae; Streptophyta; Magnoliopsida; Malpighiales; Euphorbiaceae. The record is from RNAcentral.
GGCUACUGCAUUUGCUCCAUGUUCUUUAACUCUGGGAGGGGAAUGCUUUUAAGGAUGAAGGUACCUCAAGGGUCUCUAAUUGGCUCUGACCUCAUGACCGAACCCAUGGCUUCUACUGCUAUUAAAAUUUUGCCUCAUCACCCUUCAGGAAUACUUAACUAGCAUGUGUUUAUGUUUUAUGGGUUAUAUGGUUGGUUUGCUCUGGAGCUUCUUGGUCUUUUUUUUCUAGUUUGCUCGAUCUUGCUGCUUCGUGAGGAUAAUGACGGACAAGGUGUUAACUCUUCUAGGACUUCAUCAAGCUUUGUUGAUUCACAUCCUUUGGCUAAAGAGUUCCGCCCCGAUGCUUCUCACUGUAUCCAUUUCCUCUUUCAGGUAGCUUUGCAACUUGAAGAUUAUGAUAUGCCCUUUUUUCUUUUUCGGAUUACCCGUUUAGGAUAGAAUUUUCUUUUUAUAGGCCUUGGGCUGUAUUUAGUUUUUAAUCUUUAUAUUACUUUGUGGAUUGAAUUUUUUAUAAUAGGCUAAUGGUUGUAUAAUCCCUUAUAUCAAUG